UAUAUAUAUAUAUAUAUAUAUAUAUAUAUAUAUAUAACGUUAUGGAACUAUGACUAUGUUUACUGUAGAUUUGCAUGCAUGCUAUUUUGUAAUAUAUAUGUAUUGAAGUUGAACUAAUUUAUAAUGCAGGACCCCACUGAAAAACACUUCGGUAUCCUGGAUAAAUAUAAAUAUAAUAAUAAUAAUAAUAAUAGCCUCACGUUCCUUCCCGAGGAUCGCAGGCUCGAAGAACAAGAUUGAUCGCAAACCCAAUUGCUUACGGGCGCGUGCAUUCUCGUUCCCAGUUCCCGCGAAAUUAAUAUUACUCGUUCCGAAUUCUCGUUGAUUAAUUUUUACAAAUACCGUAUUUAUAUAUUUACGAUAAAAUUACUAAAAAUCUAGAAAAGAAAUUGCAAUGCAUACCCUACAAAAUGAAACAUCAAAUCUCACCUUCUCUGAGAGCUUCAAGCAUGUUACUUAGCAAUAUACCAAUGCUUUAAAUUUGCGAAGUUUAAAUGAUGGGAAAAAUUGUCUAAUUUCUUCUUCGUCCUACAAAGCACUACGUCUUCGCCAUCUAACUUUUCUUCUUCCACAUAUACAAAUAAUUAAAAAGAAAUAAUUAUUACGAAACUGUUAAAAACAAGAGAUAUUCCUCUUUUACUUUUAUACCAAAAUAAAGUAACGUGCAACUCACCAAAAUGUUCUACAACAUCACUGGGGAACUCACGAUACACCAACCAAUCCGCGUCAGUUCAGAACACGAAAAUAUUAUCUGGAGGAUAUCUAUUGACGUAUAGCUGGCUAAACCCCACUUGCAUCUCACUCCCCAAAAUUUAGAAUGGCCAACUUUUUACUCAACCAACAACAUGUCACUUGAAGAGAAUAUUUUUAUCGACCAAUGGAAAGCGUCUAACCAUGGGGGUUCUAUUAACCGUGAUCUAACGAAGAUUUGGAGACAAUACCAGUUCUCCUUAAUAAAGUACUCCUUAUAGAAUAUAGAUAUUUGCAAUACAUUUUGAAACAAGCAUUUUAUUUGAAGUUGAAAGAAUAACUUUACUGUAUAUCUGCAUGUUUGGUAUAAUUAGAUUUAUGUUACCAAGUGUAAUCAUGUAAAAAAUAAAA
Molecule: non-coding RNA, 1101 nt
Organism: Paramuricea clavata
Lineage: Eukaryota; Metazoa; Cnidaria; Anthozoa; Malacalcyonacea; Plexauridae
Source: the annotation of a GenBank genome assembly